RNAcentral lists this transfer RNA (72 nucleotides) under Mesocricetus auratus (golden hamster). It matches the Rfam family "tRNA". From Rfam's summary of the family: Transfer RNA (tRNA) molecules are approximately 80 nucleotides in length. Their secondary structure includes four short double-helical elements and three loops (D, anti-codon, and T loops). Lineage: Eukaryota; Metazoa; Chordata; Mammalia; Rodentia; Cricetidae. The record is from Rfam by way of RNAcentral.
UGGGCUAUAGCUCAGUGAUGGAGCACUUGCCUGGAAAGUAGUGGUCCCUAGGUUCAACUCCCAGUAUCACAA